AGUGAACGCUGGCGGUAGGCCUAACACAUGCAAGUCGAACGGCAGCACAGUAAGAGCUUGCUCUUACGGGUGGCGAGUGGCGGACGGGUGGGGAAUACAUCGGAAUCUACUUUUUCGUGGGGGAUAACGUAGGGAAACUUACGCUAAUACCGCAUACGACCUACGGGUGAAAGCAGGGGAUCUUCGGACCUUGCGCGAUUGAAUGAGCCGAUAUCGGAUUAGCUAGUUGGCGGGGUAAAGGCCCACCAAGGCGACGAUCCGUAGCUGGUCUGAGAGGAUGAUCAGCCACACUGGAACUGAGACACGGUCCAGACUCCUACGGGAGGCAGCAGUGGGGAAUAUUGGACAAUGGGCGCAAGCCUGAUCCAGCCAUACCGCGUGGGUGAAGAAGGCCUUCGGGUUGUAAAGCCCUUUUGUUGGGAAAGAAAAGCAGCAGGUUAAUACCCCGCUGUUCUGACGGUACCCAAAGAAUAAGCACCGGCUAACUUCGUG
This 492-nucleotide ribosomal RNA is filed under the name uncultured bacterium. RNAcentral's name for it is "partial 16S ribosomal RNA". It matches the Rfam family "Bacterial small subunit ribosomal RNA", at positions 29 to 507 of the family's 1533-position model. The record is from RNAcentral.